GUGUAGACAAGUGUACAGAUUUCUAAGACAUGAAAUUAUCUAGACUCACUCUAGUUAUAUGAAUAUAUCUAUCCAUAAUCUACUUAAUAGAUAAUCCAUCAUGCACCGGACCGUCAAAUAUCGUGGCUUUGUUGUUCGGGCGUAUUAUAAAAACAACUCAUCUGCAGCGAUGCAGCGAGCGUUCUGUUGACGCUUCGUACCAGAUGCACGUAAAAAGCGUAUCAACACUUUCAUGAAAGACCUCAGAGCAGUGGACACCUUGUGGAAAGAGUCGUCAGACGUUGUUAUUGACACAUCUUUAUGGAGACAGCUUGCCACCCAACUUUACCGAUCGGCCCGGAAGGAUCUAAAU
Molecule: long non-coding RNA, 352 nt
Organism: Biomphalaria glabrata
Lineage: Eukaryota; Metazoa; Mollusca; Gastropoda; Planorbidae
Exons: 3
Source: RefSeq, a predicted model, not a curated record